This 465-nucleotide ribosomal RNA is filed under the name Vreelandella stevensii. RNAcentral's name for it is "partial 16S ribosomal RNA". It matches the Rfam family "Bacterial small subunit ribosomal RNA", at positions 338 to 795 of the family's 1533-position model. Lineage: Bacteria; Pseudomonadati; Pseudomonadota; Gammaproteobacteria; Oceanospirillales; Halomonadaceae. The record is from RNAcentral.
CCUACGGGCGGCAGUAGUGGGGAAUAUUGGACAAUGGGCGAAAGCCUGAUCCAGCCAUGCCGCGUGUGUGAAGAAGGCCUUCGGGUUGUAAAGCACUUUCAGUGGGGAAGAAAGCCUUGGGGCUAAUACCCUCGAGGAAGGACAUCACCCACAGAAGAAGCACCGGCUAACUCCGUGCCAGCAGCCGCGGUAAUACGGAGGGUGCGAGCGUUAAUCGGAAUUACUGGGCGUAAAGCGCGCGUAGGCGGUCUGAUAAGCCGGUUGUGAAAGCCCCGGGCUCAACCUGGGAACGGCAUCCGGAACUGUCAGGCUAGAGUGCAGGAGAGGAAGGUAGAAUUCCCGGUGUAGCGGUGAAAUGCGUAGAGAUCGGGAGGAAUACCAGUGGCGAAGGCGGCCUUCUGGACUGACACUGACGCUGAGGUGCGAAAGCGUGGGUAGCAAACAGGAUUAGAUACCCGAGUAGUC